GAUGAACGCUGGCGGCGUGCCUAAUACAUGCAAGUCGAGCGAACAGACGAGGAGCUUGCUCCUCUGACGUUAGCGGCGGACGGGUGAGUAACACGUGGAUAACCUACCUAUAAGACUGGGAUAACUUCGGGAAACCGGAGCUAAUACCGGAUAAUAUAUUGAACCGCAUGGUUCAAUAGUGAAAGACGGUUUUGCUGUCACUUAUAGAUGGAUCCGCGCCGCAUUAGCUAGUUGGUAAGGUGACGGCUUACCAAGGCAACGAUGCGUAGCCGACCUGAGGGGGUGAUCGGCCACACUGGAACUGAGACACGGUCCAGACUCCUACGGGGGGCAGCAGUAGGGAAUCUUCCGCAAUGGGCGAAAGCCUGACGGAGCAACGCCGCGUGAGUGAUGAAGGUCUUCGGAUCGUAAAACUCUGUUAUUAGGAAAGAACAAAUGUGUAAGUAACUAUGCACGUCUUGACGGUACCUAAUCAGAAAGCCACGGCUAACUACGUG
Molecule: ribosomal RNA, 497 nt
Filed under: uncultured bacterium
Lineage: Bacteria
Description: partial 16S ribosomal RNA
Rfam family: Bacterial small subunit ribosomal RNA
Source: RNAcentral